UCGGGAAUUUUGGGCAAUGGGCGAAAGCCUGACCCAGCAACGCCGCGUGAAGGAUGAAGUAUUUCGGUAUGUAAACUUCGAAAGAAUAGGAAGAAUAAAUGACGGUACUAUUUAUAAGGUCCGGCUAACUACGUGCCAGCAGCCGCGGUAAUACGUAGGGACCAAGCGUUGUUCGGAUUUACUGGGCGUAAAGGGCGCGUAGGCGGCAAUUCAAGUCAUCUGUGAAAUCUCCGGGCUUAACUCGGAACGGUCAGAUGAUACUGCUUUGCUAGAGUGCAGAAGGGGCAAUCGGAAUUCUUGGUGUAGCGGUGAAAUGCGUAGAUAUGUGGAGGAACACCGAUGGCGAAGGCAGCCCCCUGGGUCAAGAUUGACGCUCAUGCACGAAAGCGUGGGGAGCAAACAGGAUUAGAUACCCGCGUAGUCCCUGAGCGGGCUGGCAAGGCGCAU
Molecule: ribosomal RNA, 447 nt
Filed under: uncultured bacterium
Lineage: Bacteria
Description: bacterial SSU rRNA
Rfam family: Bacterial small subunit ribosomal RNA
Source: RNAcentral